This 465-nucleotide ribosomal RNA is filed under the name uncultured Klebsiella sp. Its description in RNAcentral is "bacterial SSU rRNA". It matches the Rfam family "Bacterial small subunit ribosomal RNA", at positions 338 to 795 of the family's 1533-position model. The record is from RNAcentral. Lineage: Bacteria; Pseudomonadati; Pseudomonadota; Gammaproteobacteria; Enterobacterales; Enterobacteriaceae.
CCUACGGGCGGCUGCAGUGGGGAAUAUUGCACAAUGGGCGCAAGCCUGAUGCAGCCAGGCCGCGUGUGUGAAGAAGGCCUUCGGGUUGUAAAGCACUUUCAGCGGGGAGGAAGGCGUUAAGGUUAAUAACCUUGUCGAUUGACGUUACCCGCAGAAGAAGCACCGGCUAACUCCGUGCCAGCAGCCGCGGUAAUACGGAGGGUGCAAGCGUUAAUCGGAAUUACUGGGCGUAAAGCGCACGCAGGCGGUCUGUCAAGUCGGAUGUGAAAUCCCCGGGCUCAACCUGGGAACUGCAUUCGAAACUGGCAGGCUAGAGUCUUGUAGAGGGGGGUAGAAUUCCAGGUGUAGCGGUGAAAUGCGUAGAGAUCUGGAGGAAUACCGGUGGCGAAGGCGGCCCCCUGGACAAAGACUGACGCUCAGGUGCGAAAGCGUGGGGAGCAAACAGGAUUAGAUACCCGAGUAGUC